RNAcentral lists this transfer RNA (77 nucleotides) under Inconstantimicrobium porci. RNAcentral describes it as "tRNA-Arg". It matches the Rfam family "tRNA". Rfam says of the family: Transfer RNA (tRNA) molecules are approximately 80 nucleotides in length. Their secondary structure includes four short double-helical elements and three loops (D, anti-codon, and T loops). Further hydrogen bonds mediate the characteristic L-shaped molecular structure. tRNAs have two regions of fundamental functional importance: the anti-codon, which is responsible for specific mRNA codon recognition, and the 3' end, to which the tRNAs corresponding amino acid is attached (by aminoacyl-tRNA synthetases). tRNAs cope with the degeneracy of the genetic code in two manners: having more than one tRNA (with a specific anti-codon) for a particular amino acid; and 'wobble' base-pairing, i.e. permitting non-standard base-pairing at the 3rd anti-codon position. Lineage: Bacteria; Bacillati; Bacillota; Clostridia; Eubacteriales; Clostridiaceae. The record is from RNAcentral.
GCGAUAGUAGCUCAGUUGGAUAGAGUGGCUGGCUACGAACCAGUAGGUCGGGGGUUCGAAUCCCUCCUGUCGUACCA